Molecule: ribosomal RNA, 981 nt
Filed under: human gut metagenome
Description: bacterial LSU rRNA
Rfam family: Bacterial large subunit ribosomal RNA
Source: RNAcentral
CCUAAGGUAGCGAAAUUCCUUGUCGGGUAAGUUCCGACCUGCACGAAUGGCGUAAUGAUGGCCAGGCUGUCUCCACCCGAGACUCAGUGAAAUUGAACUCGCUGUGAAGAUGCAGUGUACCCGCGGCAAGACGGAAAGACCCCGUGAACCUUUACUAUAGCUUGACACUGAACAUUGAGCCUUGAUGUGUAGGAUAGGUGGGAGGCUUUGAAGCGUGGACGCCAGUCUGCGUGGAGCCAACCUUGAAAUACCACCCUUUAAUGUUUGAUGUUCUAACGUUGGCCCCUUAUCGGGGUUGCGGACAGUGUCUGGUGGGUAGUUUGACUGGGGCGGUCUCCUCCCAAAGCGUAACGGAGGAGCACGAAGGUUAGCUAAUCCUGGUCGGACAUCAGGAGGUUAGUGCAAUGGCAUAAGCUAGCUUGACUGCGAGCGUGACGGCGCGAGCAGGUGCGAAAGCAGGUCAUAGUGAUCCGGUGGUUCUGAAUGGAAGGGCCAUCGCUCAACGGAUAAAAGGUACUCCGGGGAUAACAGGCUGAUACCGCCCAAGAGUUCAUAUCGACGGCGGUGUUUGGCACCUCGAUGUCGGCUCAUCACAUCCUGGGGCUGAAGUAGGUCCCAAGGGUAUGGCUGUUCGCCAUUUAAAGUGGUACGCGAGCUGGGUUUAGAACGUCGUGAGACAGUUCGGUCCCUAUCUGCCGUGGGCGCUGGAGAAUUGAGGGGGGCUGCUCCUAGUACGAGAGGACCGGAGUGGACGCAUCACUGGUGUUCGGGUUGUCAUGCCAAUGGCACUGCCCGGUAGCUAAAUGCGGAAGAGAUAAGUGCUGAAAGCAUCUAAGCACGAAACUUGCCCCGAGAUGAGUUCUCCCUGAGACUAUAAGUCUCCUGAAGGAACGUUGAAGACGACGACGUUGAUAGGCCGGGUGUGUAAGCGCAGCGAUGCGUUGAGCUAACCGGUACUAAUGAACCGUGAGGCUUAACCUU